RNAcentral lists this RNase P RNA (368 nucleotides) under Aliidiomarina minuta. Its description in RNAcentral is "Alteromonadales bacterium MLST1 Bacterial RNase P class A". It matches the Rfam family "Bacterial RNase P class A". From Rfam's summary of the family: Ribonuclease P (RNase P) is a ubiquitous endoribonuclease, found in archaea, bacteria and eukarya as well as chloroplasts and mitochondria. Its best characterised activity is the generation of mature 5'-ends of tRNAs by cleaving the 5'-leader elements of precursor-tRNAs. The record is from Rfam by way of RNAcentral. Lineage: Bacteria; Pseudomonadati; Pseudomonadota; Gammaproteobacteria; Alteromonadales; Idiomarinaceae.
GGAGUCAGCCAAGACAAUCGCUGCCCGCUUCGGCGGGGGGAGGAAAGUCCGGGCUCCGAAGGGCAGGGUGCCAGGUAACGCCUGGGCGGCGCGAGCCGACGACAAGUGCAGCAGAGAGGAAACCGCCGAUGGCCCGUUUGUUCGUAAGAAUGAGUGGGAUCAGGUAAGGGUGAAAGGGUGCGGUAAGAGCGCACCGCAUGGCUGGUAACAGUUCAUGGCAAGGUAAACUCCACCCGGAGCAAGACCAAAUAGGGAUCCUUGGGGUGGCCCGCCUCGGAUCCGGGUAGGUUGCUUGAGACUAUGGGCGACUGUAGUCCUAGACGAAUGAUUGUCCACGACAGAACCCGGCUUAAUGGCUGACUCCACCU